Molecule: ribosomal RNA, 355 nt
Filed under: uncultured bacterium
Lineage: Bacteria
Description: bacterial SSU rRNA
Rfam family: Bacterial small subunit ribosomal RNA
Source: RNAcentral
GGACCCGCACAAGUAGUGGAGCAUGUGGUUUAAUUCGAAGAUACGCGCAGAACCUUACCAACACUUGACAUGUUCGUCGCGACUCUAAGAGAUUAGAGUUUUCGGUUCGGCCGGACGAAACACAGGUGCUGCAUGGCUGUCGUCAGCUCGUGUCGUGAGAUGUUGGGUUAAGUCCCGCAACGAGCGCAACCCUCACUUUUAGUUGCCAUCAUUUAGUUGGGCACUCUGAAAGAACUGCCAGUGAUAAGCUGGAGGAAGGUGGGGAUGACGUCAAAUCAUCACGGCCCUUACGUCCUGGGCUACACACGUGCUACAAUGGCCGGUACAGAGGGCAGCCACACCGCAAGGUGGAGCG